GGAUAUUUGCAUCAUGUACCAUGUGUUCACUCAGACCCCCAUGAACCUUCUUACUUUGAUGAUUGAGGCCAUGAGAGAGAUCCUAAAUAGGUCUAAGACUCACUUGCCUUUUGGUAUGGCACUCACCCUACUCUUUAGGAGGUUCGGAGUCAAUUUUGAGGGGGAGGUAGUUACUAGGUUGUCUCAUUCUGACACUAUUAACGACCACACACUGCACCAUAUGGAUUUUUCAAAGACUGAUGGCGGUUGGUCAAAGGG
Molecule: long non-coding RNA, 258 nt
Filed under: Elaeis guineensis (African oil palm)
Lineage: Eukaryota; Viridiplantae; Streptophyta; Magnoliopsida; Arecales; Arecaceae
Description: long non-coding RNA (EGUI_LNC058442)
Source: RNAcentral